RNAcentral lists this long non-coding RNA (946 nucleotides) under Salmo salar (Atlantic salmon). RNAcentral's name for it is "lncRNA (ENSSSAG00000112625.1)". The record is from RNAcentral. Lineage: Eukaryota; Metazoa; Chordata; Actinopteri; Salmoniformes; Salmonidae.
ACAGUGGCCUUUCCUUUUCACCAAGUUAUGGCUCUGCGACCACUUCAAUACUUGUGAUUGACAGUCACCUGACUCAAGCUCUCCUGAACAAGGGAAAUAUUCUAUUGGGUUCCUCAAAAUGGAUGGUGUCGAUCGAGAGGAGAGUGGUCUGUGUUUUGGACAGUAAGUCCAACUUUGCUGCUGCCCUCUCUGUGCUCUUCAGCACUUUCUAUGUUUUUAACAUAGAAUAACAGGAGUUGGCCUCUGCAACCUUGGAGCUGAUAGAGGUUCCUGGUUUGAAUAAACCCUUAAGGAACCAAAUGCACAGCGAAAGCAGGAGUGAGCCGCAAGACCGGAAAGGUCGUUCAGAGGAAGUCAUUGCCAAUUGACCAAGAUGUUACACGCUUUCUCGCAGACCUGAAGGAGUUUGAUAGGAAAAACUCCAACAUGUAGAAAUCCUGCCAUGUGGGUUGGGUCAGCAAAUGAUCUGUUUGCUCCAUCCCGGAGCCUGUGUUGUCUUGAGGUAGCAUGCUUCUCUGGCUCCAGUCUAGCCCUGCUCUCUCCUCUCUAUCCACUUUUCUCUCAGCCCCUUUCUCUCUCGAUCUCUCUCUCUCUCUCGUUUCUCUCUCAACGACAGCCAGGCAAGCAGUUCUUGUUAUUGUUUUUUGUAAAAAUGUCUCCCUGUUCAACUGUUGUUUCCCUAUUUUUCAUUGAUCUGUUUAGAGAUUUUUUAAAUCUUACAUAAUCCUGUAUUUUUAAGAAUGACCUAUUCUGAUGUUUUGGUUUGUGUAUGGUGAAGUACAUUACUGACCAUUAUUUGUCAAUGUUCUUAUCAUUGUAUCUCUUUCUCUCUCUCUCCCCUACUAUCUGGAGUUGUAAUGUUGCUCUUUUCAAAUGUUGUUCUUUGUGGUUAAAGUGCAUUUCAAGUGAAAUUCUUGUUAUGAAUUUGAAUAAAUAUAUAUAUUUG